GCCCGUCGCUCCUACCGAUUGGAUGACUCGGUGAAAUCACCGGAUGCUUACGAGCAGAAAGUGAUUAAAUCACGUUAUCUAGAGGAAGGAGAAGUCGUAACAAGGUAACGGUAGGUGAACCUGCCGUUGGAUCAGUUCUAGUUUUAAUAACUAACACCAACUUCUUUUAUUAAACAAAAACCAAUACAAAAUUAAAAACUAACUUCAUCAAAAACCAAGUCUCUAAGCAAUGGAUGUCUUGGCUCCUCACACGAUGAAGAA
RNAcentral lists this ribosomal RNA (261 nucleotides) under Trichomonas vaginalis G3. Its description in RNAcentral is "5.8S ribosomal RNA". The stretch from base 1 to 137 matches the Rfam family "Eukaryotic small subunit ribosomal RNA", at positions 1671 to 1831 of the family's 1831-position model. The record is from RNAcentral. Lineage: Eukaryota; Parabasalia; Trichomonadida; Trichomonadidae.